UACGUAGGGGGCAAGCGUUGUCCGGAUUCAUUGGGCGUAAAGAGCGUGUAGGCGGCCAGGUAGGUCGGUUGUGAAAACUGGAGGCUCAACCUUCAGAGGUCGACCGAAACCAUCUGGCUAGAGUCCGGGAGAGGGAUGCGGAAUUCCAGGUGUAGCGGUGAAAUGCGUAGAGAUCGGGCGGAACACCAGCGGCGAAGGCGGCAUCCUGGCCCUUACCUGACGCUGAGGCGCGAGAGCGUGGGGAGCAAACCGG
Molecule: ribosomal RNA, 253 nt
Filed under: uncultured bacterium
Lineage: Bacteria
Description: partial 16S ribosomal RNA
Rfam family: Bacterial small subunit ribosomal RNA
Source: RNAcentral